Molecule: ribosomal RNA, 460 nt
Filed under: uncultured bacterium
Lineage: Bacteria
Description: partial 16S ribosomal RNA
Rfam family: Bacterial small subunit ribosomal RNA
Source: RNAcentral
CCUACGUGUGUCAGCAGUGAGUAAUAUUGGUCAAUGGACGCAAGUCUGAACCAGCCAUGCCGCGUGCAGGAAGACGGCUCUAUGAGUUGUAAACUGCUUUUGUACGAGGGUAAAUCCCGAUACGCGUCUCGGGUUGAAAGUAUCGUACGAAUAAGGCUCGGCUAACUCCGUGCCAGCAGCCGCGGUAAUACGGAGGAUGCAAGCGUUAUCCGGAUUUCUUGGGUUUAAAGGGUGCUUAGGCGGUUCGAUAAGGUAGAGGUUAAAUCCCAGGGCUCAACUCCGGCACUGCCUCUGAAACUGGCGGGCUAGAGUUGAGUUGCAGUAGGCGGAAUGUAUGGUGUAGCGGUGAAAUGCAUAGAGAUCAUACAGAACACCGAUUGCGAAGGCAGCUUACCAAACUACGACUGACGUUGAGGCACGAAAGCGUGGGGAGCAAACAGGAUUAGAUACCCGAGUAGUC